This 429-nucleotide ribosomal RNA is filed under the name Fusobacteriota bacterium. RNAcentral describes it as "Fusobacteria bacterium partial 16S ribosomal RNA". It matches the Rfam family "Bacterial small subunit ribosomal RNA", at positions 355 to 776 of the family's 1533-position model. The record is from RNAcentral. Lineage: Bacteria; Fusobacteriati; Fusobacteriota.
UGGGGAAUAUUGUGCAAUGGGCGAAAGCCUGACGCAGCGACGCCGCGUGAGGGAUGAAGGUUUUCGGAUCGUAAACCUCUGUCAGAAGGGAAGAAACCGCACUGUGCUAAUCAGCAGUGCCUUGACGGUACCUUCAAAGGAAGCACCGGCUAACUCCGUGCCAGCAGCCGCGGUAAUACGGAGGGUGCAAGCGUUAAUCGGAAUUACUGGGCGUAAAGCGCACGUAGGCUGCUUUGUAAGUCAGGGGUGAAAUCCCACGGCUCAACCGUGGAACUGCCUUUGAUACUGCUUAGCUUGAAUCCGGGAGAGGGUGGCGGAAUUCCAGGUGUAGGAGUGAAAUCCGUAGAUAUCUGGAGGAACAUCAGUGGCGAAGGCGGCCACCUGGACCGGUAUUGACGCUGAGGUGCGAAAGCGUGGGGAGCAAACAGG